CUAAAUCCCGGUUACUGUUCAUGUUUUUUUUAGACAACUACUUUUUUCUUUUGUUCUCACACAACACAAUGACCCAUGUGCUGAUGACCCAUGCUGUCACACAAUUGCGUGGGUUGAUACUCCCCAAGGCUCUUCGUCAUCUUCCCUCAUGCUGCCAUUAACAGCUGUUUAGUUUGCUUUACAGAUGGUACAGAUUACAGAUUACAGAUUACAGAUGGAGGCUUUUACUAUCCUGUAAACAAUAAUUUUCUCCUAUAAAUUCACCAUCCACCAAGUGUAUUUUCGUGUGCUUGCUUCUGUGCUUUGAACUGAAUUAGAGAUAGAAAUAGAGAUAGAGAAGAGAUAGAGAUAGAGAUGGCUGGGCGUUUGAAUCAACUAAGUAGCUUACGUUCAGGUAAAAGUAAUGGAAGUAUUAAGGUUAGGAUCAUCCGUAUGUGGGAAAGUUUCCUAGCUGCAAAAGCAGACACACCACACCAUGGCCACAGAUGACCCUGUUAUUGAACAGGCAUUGUUGGGAUCUAGGACCCUAGGAGAGCGUGUCUAUGCAGCGUUGAUGCCACUCAUAGUUGUAGUUGAGGUUCUGGUGUUUGCUGUGGCAGGUUGUUUCAACCGUUGUCCACUCAGAAAUAUUAAUUAGGAUCAGAAACGUGAAUGUACUGCUAAGGAUUUUGCUCGCCUUGCAAAAGAAACCAGAUGACUAUGAAAUUUCUUUGUUAUACAUGAAGGUGAAACUCAAUCUAAAUUUGAAGACGAAAAACAGGAAAAACAUCAGGUUCCUGAAUCUUGGGGAAGAGUUUGGCAAGGCAAAUAUGGUUGCGCAUGUCACAUCGCUUUUGAGAAACACAUGGAAGACUGCUAUCCAGCUUGACUCAAACUCUUUUGAGGCAGUUAUCCAAUCCAGGGUGCUCCAGGAAGAUAAAAGGGGAGAACUCAAACUAUUUUCAAGAGAUGAAAGAGGCUAAGAUUCCAAAAAUUUGUUAAUAGAACUCUGGCGUGUAGAAACAUAUUAAGCUUCGCUGAUGACAAAGUUAUUGCAAGAAAUCAGGGAAUGAUAGUAUGGACUGUGGGGUUCAUUAUUGGAAUAAUGUUAUCCGCGUUUUUGGAAGAUGAGACUAAUGCAAGAUGUAGAAAUGACUCUAAAGAAGAUGUGAAGCUUAGACCACUCACUCAAUGCACAAACUAUCUAUUGUAUGGUCAUUGGUUAUGCUGCCAUUAGGAACUUCUAUAUUAUGUGUGUAUACAUUUAUGACAGUUGGAUUCUUCAUUCAAGCCAAUGAAGUUAUGUCUGACUCACAAAGUUUUCCCUUUUUGUAGUUGAUCAUGGUUGUCUUCGUGGUUCCCAAGUUUGACAAGUUCGUCACUUUCCGAUUGAAGGUUGAGCCAAAGCUAUAUUGGCCAGUGAAUGAGCAAUUUUGUGAUUGGUGGAGAAAGAAGUUCGUCGAUGGAAAAGUGGUGGUUAGGGACCCUGAAGGAAACUCUAAGUUAAUUACGAGUGAAUAACUUGAAUGGGAAGCAUGUUUUCUAUGAUGGGAUCCUGGUGUUUAUUAAUUACUACGGUAUUGGACCAGCAUGCCAUUGCUGAUCCUGUUUAAGUUGACUAGAGAACAUUGAUAAUAGUAACAGAAACUUCUGAAGAUGCAACAGGAGGAUACCUACAUGGUGGAAGUCAACCGCCAUUAAAAGUGUGAGCUGCCGAAGGGUUGGUUGCUGAAUAUGUGUUGUUUAUUUCUAGACAAUGUCCAUUACUUCAUGUUCGUAAUAGAAUUUGUUGUUUACUGUGUGUUUAAUUUCAAGUUUGUGUUGUUAAGUUCGAUGAAUUUGUGCCCAAGAACCUAUUAUGUAUUUUGCAAAUUAUGGUUGUAUUUAUAUUUAGUUCCCUUUUCCCAAAUUUAUGUUGUUGAAUUCGUUGCA
Lotus japonicus is the source of this 1911-nucleotide long non-coding RNA. RefSeq lists it as uncharacterized. Lineage: Eukaryota; Viridiplantae; Streptophyta; Magnoliopsida; Fabales; Fabaceae. The record is from RefSeq and is a predicted model, not a curated record. The transcript has 6 exons.